AUAUCAAAUUCUCUUCUCUUUAGGCACAGAAAUGUUCUGCCCACCGGAGUUCAAUGUCACUGGCAGGUACCAUGCAAAGCCGGCGACAGUAUGUUCAUUAGAGAUCCUGCUGUUCGUGAUGGUAUUAUCCAGACGACAAAGACCUGCACAGGAUCAGUAAGAAGGACUGGUCCGAACCUGACCUGCCACAAGAAUGCUGCCAGAUGAUCUGUGAUUGUCUGCAGCCUGAUCCGCAGCGGAGACUUGUCCUGGAGGAGAUGCAGCUCCAUGACUGGUUUAUGGUACUAAGAUUAGAGCCCAAGGUUGUGGAGUAAGACAAGGAGAGCAAGAAGAAAACUACUCCCUGUCACGGCCACUGUUGUUUUCUUUUUUUGUCUUCGGUCAGCUUUGCGUCUGGCAGGCUGACGUGAGCGGCCUUUCCAUCUCUCCACUUUGGCCUUGGCCUCUUGUUUCC
Sinocyclocheilus anshuiensis is the source of this 454-nucleotide long non-coding RNA. RefSeq lists it as uncharacterized. The record is from RefSeq and is a predicted model, not a curated record. NCBI's taxonomy places the organism in Eukaryota, Metazoa, Chordata, Actinopteri, Cypriniformes, Cyprinidae. The transcript is spliced from 3 exons.